UUGUUUAGAAGCCAAAGAAGAGGCUUAAUAUUGUUAAUAUUAUAAUUGAUAAUUAUUGAUAUCCUAACAAG
RNAcentral lists this transfer RNA (71 nucleotides) under Euborellia arcanum. RNAcentral describes it as "tRNA-Asn". Lineage: Eukaryota; Metazoa; Arthropoda; Insecta; Dermaptera; Anisolabididae. The record is from RNAcentral.